This is a long non-coding RNA of Ahaetulla prasina, 336 nucleotides long. RefSeq lists it as uncharacterized. Lineage: Eukaryota; Metazoa; Chordata; Lepidosauria; Squamata; Colubridae. The transcript has 3 exons. The record is from RefSeq and is a predicted model, not a curated record.
GCCAGCUGGCAGCCCAUAGCAUUGCUUGCUUUGCUCUCCCAUCUCUGCUCUUGCAAGUUUCACUGCCCUUUCUCUUGCUGUGCGAACCUCCUGAUCUUUGAGACUGCAGCUUCUCCCUAAAUGAGAAAGCUGGCUGCAAGAUGAGGGGAGCCAAGAAAAGGCAGGGGAAGCAGGUGAGCAAAGCAACAUCCGGGAGUUACAUUGAUCCCUUUCUGACAAGCAAAACCAACAGGGAAAUCAGAUUCACUUAACAACUGUGUGACUGACUUAACAACUACAGUGAUUCACUUAACAAGUGUGGCAAGAAAGUUUCAGAGAAGAUGCGAAUGAGGGUGG